This 559-nucleotide ribosomal RNA is filed under the name uncultured Glomus. RNAcentral's name for it is "SSU rRNA". It matches the Rfam family "Eukaryotic small subunit ribosomal RNA", at positions 546 to 1106 of the family's 1831-position model. The record is from RNAcentral. Lineage: Eukaryota; Fungi; Glomeromycota; Glomeromycetes; Glomerales; Glomeraceae.
AAUUGGAGGGCAAGUCUGGUGCCAGCAGCCGCGGUAAUUCCAGCUCCAAUAGCGUAUAUUAAAGUUGUUGCAGUUAAAAAGCUCGUAGUUGAAUUUCGGGGUUAGUAGGCUGGUCGUGCCACAGGUAUGAACUGGUCUUACUGACUUCUCCUUUCUGAAGAACUGUAAUGCCAUUAAUUUGGUGUUGCAGGGAAACAGGACUGUUACUUUGAAAAAAUUAGAGUGUUUAAAGCAGGCUAACGCUUGAAUACAUUAGCAUGGAAUAAUGAAAUAGGACGUUCGAUCCUAUUUUGUUGGUUUCUAGGAUUGACGUAAUGAUUAAUAGGGAUAGUUGGGGGCAUUAGUAUUCAAUUGUCAGAGGUGAAAUUCUUGGAUUUAUUGAAGACUAACUACUGCGAAAGCAUUUGCCAAGGAUGUUUUCAUUAAUCAAGAACGAAAGUUAGGGGACCGAAGACGAUCAGAUACCGUCGUAGUCUUAACCAUAAACUAUGCCGACUAGGGAUCGGAUGAUGUUAAUUUUUUAAUGACUCAUUCGGCGCCUUACGGGAAACCAAAGUGU